Molecule: ribosomal RNA, 407 nt
Filed under: uncultured Bdellovibrio sp.
Lineage: Bacteria; Pseudomonadati; Bdellovibrionota; Bdellovibrionia; Bdellovibrionales; Pseudobdellovibrionaceae
Description: bacterial SSU rRNA
Rfam family: Bacterial small subunit ribosomal RNA
Source: RNAcentral
UAGGGAAUAUUGCACAAUGGGGGAAACCCUGAUGCAGCAACGCCGCGUGAGUGAUGAAGGCCCUAGGGUUGUAAAGCUCUGUUCUUGGGGAACAAAAAAAUGAGUGUACCCAAGAAGAAAGGACCGGCUAACUUCGUGCCAGCAGCCGCGGUAAGACGAGGGGUCCGAGCGUUGUCCGGAAUCAUUGGGCGUAAAGAGGGUGUAGGCGGUUUUGUAAGUCAGAAGUGAAAGUCUUGGGCUUAACCCAAGAAGUGCUUUUGAUACUGCAGGGCUUGAGUGUGGAAGAGGGCAGUAGAAUUCCUGGUGUAGCGGUGGAAUGCGUAGAUAUCAGGAGGAAUACCGGAGGCGAAGGCAUCUGCCUGGUCCAACACUGACGCUGAGACCCGAAAGCGUGGGGAGCAAACAGG